Non-coding RNA from Cordylochernes scorpioides, 2003 nucleotides. NCBI's taxonomy places the organism in Eukaryota, Metazoa, Arthropoda, Arachnida, Pseudoscorpiones, Chernetidae. The record is from the annotation of a GenBank genome assembly.
ACCUGGUUGAUCCUGCCAGUAGUCAUAUGCUUGUCUCAAAGAUUAAGCCAUGCAUGUCUAAGUACACGCCCUAGCAAGGUGAAACCGCGAAUGGCUCAUUAAAUUCAGUUAUGGUUCCUUAGAUCGUACACAUUUACUUGGAUAACUGCGGUAAUUCUAGAGCUAAUACAUGCAAUUGAGCCCUCGUCCCUUUUAGGGUGAGGGUGAUUUUAUUAUACCAAGACCAAACGGGGGCAACUCCGAUAGUCGUGGUGACUCGAAUAACUAUGGCGGAUCGCACAGUCCUAGCACUGGCAACGCAUCUUUCAAGUGUCUGCCUUAUCAACUUUCGAUGGUAGGUUAUGCGCCUACCAUGGUUGUUACGGGUAACGGGGAAUCAGGGUUCGAUUCCGGAGAGGGAGCCUGAGAAACGGCUACCACAUCCAAGGAAGGCAGCAGGCGCGCAAAUUACCCACUCCCGGCACGGGGAGGUAGUGACGAAAAAUAACAAUACGGGACUCUAACGAGGCUCCGUAAUUGGAAUGAGUACACUCUAAACCUUUUAACGAGGAUCUAUUGGAGGGCAAGUCUAGUGCCAGCAGCCGCGGUAACUCUAGCUCCAAUAGCGUAUAUUAAAGUUGUUGCGGUUAAAAAGCUCGUAGUUGGAUAUCAGUCGCGCUCCCUUCGAUGCGUUGCAAAGCGUCUAUCAUUGGGGCCGACAGCACGUUGGUGGGCCCGGUUGGCUUUUACCGGUUGAUCGGGUUCUCCGGCAAUUUUACUUUGAAAAAAUUAGGGUGCUCAAAGCAGGCUGGUGCCUGGAUAUUGGUGCAUGGUGAGCAUCAACUUUUGUAUAAGAAAUUGAAACUGACGUAUAUGUUUCUUUUUGAAAUAAAACAAUUCCGACUGCCAUUAUUGCAAUGAUAAGAUAACGGGAGGGCCUGGCUCAUCAAUAGUGAACUCUCCCAGCGGUUUCGCCAGUUUAAUCUACCAUUGUAAUUUUGCUGUUUUCCUUUUAUACCUAUACUGAAUCUGACCUUUUUCAAAUAGAAUUUUAAAUGAAAUAAACUUUGAGGACAGUAGAAAUACAUAUAAUAUGUUUAGAGCAAUUUCUCUUCAGUAAACAUCAAGUAGUCUUUUUUAAAGAACAAUUAUAAUAUUAACGCAUUGCAUCAUAAUUCGGCUUAUAUAGUCUGCCCUUGAAGGUUUAAUCUUAUUUAUGGUGUUUAGCGAAAUUUCGCAAAUAUGUUUUUUUCUUGAGCAUAAAUAUUAAAAGACAAGACUGUCUGUUUAAGCAAUAUCAAAAAGCAGACAACAUGACCCUGAUAAAAUAAUGAGUCAAGUCUUCCCAAAUAUUCUUGAUUUCACUAAUUAUGUAAAUUUGUUCAAUAUGAUCGAAUGUUGUUAAAUAGAGAAAACUUGGCAGUUUCCAUUUGGGCACUCGCAAGUUGAAUACAUUGUCUUCCUAUAAACUCAUUUUUCAUAUGAAAAUUCAAUCAGGUGCCCUUUAUAUAGGAUAUUCAACAUAUUUAAUAUUCAGGGGCCUAAUUAAAAAAAAGAACGAGAUGGACAGUCAGAUAUAUAAGGGGAAAAAACUUAAUGGGAAAAAUAGGUGAAAAACAGACGGAAGUGACCCCGAAGACAGAAUUUCAUCUAUUAGAUUGUUUGUUCUAGCGAUGUCGUGGUUCUUGUGUUACUGUCCAACUCCGUGGUGUGUGUGUGCAGGGAUUGGCUGCCAACCCCAUGACAAGUAAGGGAAUCUUAGAUUUUCUCAAGAAGAAUUACCAUGAAGAUUAUAACAAGUGGUCUUUAUACCAAAACUGUUCGAUUCAGAGUCUCAUCUUUGAAGGCUGCAUUGCAGAGAAUAUGAACAACACUAUCAGAGUUUUAGGACCACUAGUUCCCAACUUCCAAAUUAAUGUUCUGGUGAGUAUCUACAGACGACAUUAUUGAAUCGCACAAAAUGUUUUAAAUAAUAUCAUAGUAUUAUUCCUGACCGCUCACGUGAGCGUCAUCUAGUGGAACAA